GGGGGGGGGUGGGGGGGGGCCGAGGACGUGCAGGUCGAGCGGGCGGGGGGGGGGGGGGCUCGUGUGGGGGUGGCGGGGGGCGGGUGGGUAAGGCGUGGGUCGCCUACCGCUAAGACUGGGGUGACUCCGGGGAACCGGUGCUGAUGCCGGCUAACCUGUAGAACCGCAUGGGUCUGGAGUUACAGGUGGCUUGGCUGUUACUUAUAGCUGGACCCGCGACGGAUUAGCUAGGUGGUAAGGGAACGGCGUACCAAGGCAACGAUCCGUAGCCGAUCUGAGAGGGUGAUCCGCCACACUGGAACUGAGACACGGUCCAGACUGCUACGGGAGGCAGCAGUAGGGAAUAUUGCGCAAUGGGCGAAAGCCUGACGGAGCAACGCCGCGUGAGUGAUGAAGGUCUUCGGAUCGUAAAGCUCUGUUAUUAGGGAAGAACAAAUGUGUAAGUAACUGUGCCCGUCUUGACGGUACCUAAUCAGAAAGCCCCGGCUAACUACGUG
RNAcentral lists this ribosomal RNA (497 nucleotides) under uncultured bacterium. RNAcentral describes it as "partial 16S ribosomal RNA". It matches the Rfam family "Bacterial small subunit ribosomal RNA", at positions 37 to 507 of the family's 1533-position model. The record is from RNAcentral.